This 460-nucleotide ribosomal RNA is filed under the name uncultured bacterium. Its description in RNAcentral is "bacterial SSU rRNA". It matches the Rfam family "Bacterial small subunit ribosomal RNA", at positions 32 to 524 of the family's 1533-position model. The record is from RNAcentral.
AAUCAACGCUGGCGGCGCGCUUAACACAUGCAAGUCGAACGAGAAAGGGAGCAAUCCUGAGUAAAGUGGCGCACUGGUGAGUAACACGUGGGUAAUCUACCUUCUGGUGGGGAAUAACUUUGGGAAACCGAAGCUAAUACCGCAUAAGACCGAGAGGUGAAAGGCGAAAGUUGCCGGAAGAGGAGCCCGCGGCUGAUUAGCUAGUUGGUAGGGUAAAGCCUACCAAGGCAGAGAUCGGUAGCCGGCCUGAGAGGGCACACGGCCACACUGGCACUGAAACACGGGCCAGACUCCUACGGGAGGCAGCAGUGGGAAUCUUGCACAAUGGGGGAAACCCUGAUGCAGCGACGCCGCGUGAGCGAUGAAGCCCUUCGGGGUGUAAAGCUCUUUCGGCAGGGACGAUAAUGACGGUACCUGAAGAAGAAGCUGCGGCUAACUACGUGCCAGCAGCCGCGGUAAU